Ribosomal RNA from Lepisosteus oculatus (spotted gar), 119 nucleotides. The record is from Rfam. Lineage: Eukaryota; Metazoa; Chordata; Actinopteri; Semionotiformes; Lepisosteidae.
GCCAGCAGCCACAUCACCCUGCAACUCACAACUGGCAGCCCGCUGAAGCUCAGCAGGUGUGAGCCUGGCCUGUACCUGGAUGGGAGACCUCCUGGGAAAAACGAAGGUUGCUGCUGGAA